This 406-nucleotide ribosomal RNA is filed under the name uncultured bacterium. Its description in RNAcentral is "partial 16S ribosomal RNA". It matches the Rfam family "Bacterial small subunit ribosomal RNA", at positions 30 to 526 of the family's 1533-position model. The record is from RNAcentral.
AUUGAACGCUGGCGGCAGGCCUAACACAUGCAAGUCGAACGAGUGGCGGACGGGUGAGUAAUGUCUGGGAACCUGCCUGAUGGAGGGGGAUAACUACUGGAAACGGUAGCUAAUACCGCCUACCAUCAGCUGUGCCCAGAUGGGAUUCGCUUGUUGGGGGGGUAACGGCUCACCAAGGCGACGAUCCCUAGCUGGUCUGCGAGGAUGACGAGCCACACUGGAACUGAAACACGGGCCAGACUCGUACGGGAGGCAGCAGUGGGGAAUAUUGCACAAUGGGCGCAAGCCGGAUGCAGCAAUGCCGCGUGUAUGAAGAAGGCCUUCGGGUUGUAAAGUACUUUCAGCGGGGAGGCGUUACCCGCAGAAGAAGCACCGGCUAACUCCGUGCCAGGAGCCGCGGUAAUUC